Arabidopsis lyrata subsp. lyrata is the source of this 1274-nucleotide long non-coding RNA. RefSeq lists it as uncharacterized. The transcript has 5 exons. NCBI's taxonomy places the organism in Eukaryota, Viridiplantae, Streptophyta, Magnoliopsida, Brassicales, Brassicaceae. The record is from RefSeq and is a predicted model, not a curated record.
UAUUUUUAAACGCUAUUAUAUAUUGUAAUAUUAAAAUUUUUUGUCACGUUUUUUCUAAAACGCUUAUUAAUAGCAGACCGCUAAUUUAAAACGCUAUGAUAUGGUUAGGCGGUAAUUAAGAAACCCGCGAUACUUAAAAAUUUCAUUUGGCUCCAAAAAUUUUCUAAGUGUCGAAAGAAAAAAGAAAGAAGAAAAUAGAGAAAAUAAAUUCUUUAGAUCUGAAACUCGAUAUGAAACUUUUGGCUAUCUUUUGUUCAAAGAGAAAAAGAAAAAAAAAAACUUUGGCUAUCUCCUCUCUCUUCUUUCUCUCUGAAACGCAGCCCCUUUCUCUCUGUCUCUCACCCAGCCGCUCAAUCUCUGUCUCGCGUCUCGCUGUGUCGAUCCUCCAGCUCUGUCUCGUUUCCUCCUCUUAUACUUUCACAUCUUCCAUCGUUGUAUCGAUUUCGUUCCCUCACUCUAAAUCCUCAAUCUCUGUCUUGAUAUAUCAAUCUCAGUCUCGUUCCUCUAUCAAUCUCUUUAUUUUUACCUUUCAAUCUCUGUGUUGUUCUUUGGUCUAUGUCUCGUUCUCCCACUCUCAAUCUCGUUCCCUCUUCUUAAUCGUCCUCAUCUUCAUCGGUGUAAAUCAAAUUGUUGUUGUCGAAUUUGACAUAUAAGGAAGAGGCAGGGAACAUCCACUCAAAGUUGAUUUUCGCACAAAGGAGAACUAUCAGAUGCUUUUAUUUCCAAUUGAAAUAGAGCCAAGUAAAUAUUGGCUUAAUAGAACUAGUCACGAGCUGCAAAACUACUCCUUGGAGUGGUGUUCUGUUGAAGCCAUAGCCAGCGACGGUAUGACACCAUUGCACCUUACUGUAUGGUACUCAAUUACUUCGAAAGGAGAUCAAAAAUAUGUUGCCUUUAAAAAAAAAAAAUAAAAAAAAAAUAUGUUGCCUUUAAGCAGGUUGUAGAGCAACAAUUAUGGGAAGGAAGAAAAAACCAAUCAACUUAUUCCAUCCUCUUCUCGCCUAACUCUACUCUCUAUAAUCACAAUUGUAACAUGUCAAGUAUUAUGAGUCCCUAAAAAAUAGUGCUAAAAGUCUAACCUACCCGAGCCACUACAUUGUAUUCCUAUGUGAUCAUCAGAUUUUUGGGGGAAUAAAUUAUAGUUUGCAUGUGUAUAUUGAUUGGAGAUUCUUGAGAUCGAUAAUCAGUAAAAUAAGCUUUAGUAUAUAGUUUUCAUUGUGUAAAUCUCUGUCACAUGUACUCUUAUCAUCUGUAUAAAUAAAAUAUUUCCAACA